RNAcentral lists this unclassified non-coding RNA (353 nucleotides) under soil metagenome. RNAcentral describes it as "partial contains 5.8S ribosomal RNA, internal transcribed spacer 2, and large subunit ribosomal RNA". The stretch from base 1 to 120 matches the Rfam family "5.8S ribosomal RNA", at positions 35 to 154 of the family's 154-position model. The record is from RNAcentral.
GAUGAAGAACGUAGCGAAAUGCGAUAAGUAAUGUGAAUUGCAGAAUUCAGUGAAUCAUCGAAUCUUUGAACGCACAUUGCGCCCGCCAGUAUUCUGGCGGGCAUGCCUGUUCGAGCGUCAUUACAACCCUCAGGCCCCCGGGCCUGGCGUUGGGGAUCGGCGGAAGCCCCCUGCGGGCACAACGCCGUCCCCCAAAUGCAGUGGCGGUCCCGCCGCAGCUUCCAUUGCGUAGUAGCUAACACCUCGCAACUGGAGAGCGGCGCGGCCACGCCGUAAAACACCCAACUUCUGAAUGUUGACCUCGAAUCAGGUAGGAAUACCCGCUGAACUUAAGCAUAUCAAUAAGCGGAGGA